Molecule: non-coding RNA, 600 nt
Organism: Harpia harpyja (harpy eagle)
Lineage: Eukaryota; Metazoa; Chordata; Aves; Accipitriformes; Accipitridae
Source: the annotation of a RefSeq genome assembly
AUGCCAGCCGGCUGUACGUCGGACCCGCCGCCGGCCAACGCCGAGCCCAUCAACGACACUGGCAGCACCUCUAUUUGGGGUGGGUGGGCGACUCUGGGACCCGGGCGACUCAAUCCCGUCCUUUCUGUCUCCGCAGGGCUGCGGGCGGCCGUGCAACUGGUCGAGUCCGGAGGGGGCCUCCAGACACCCGGGGGGUCCCUGCGCCUCCUCUGCAAGGGCUCGGGGUACACCUUCAGCAGCUACAGCAUGGCAUGGGUGCGACAGGCGCCCGGGAAGGGGCUCGAGUGGGUCGCGGGUAUUUACAGCAGUGGUAGUAGCACCUACUACGCACCGUCGGUCAAAGGACGCUUCACCAUCUCGAGGGACAACUCCCAGAGCACGCUCACGCUGCAGAUGAACAGCCUCAGGGCCGACGACACGGCCACCUACUACUGCGCGAAAGGUGCUGAUGACGAUGCUGGUGGCACUGACCCUGGCACCGAGCCGCAACAUCCCUGCGCUGCGUCCCGAAAUCCCGGCAUCUUCCUCAAACUCCCAUCCAGUUCUUGGUCCCUUGAGCCCCACCUGGACCCCUGCACCCAACCCAGACCCUCGCCCUGA